RNAcentral lists this non-coding RNA (126 nucleotides) under Meriones unguiculatus (Mongolian gerbil). The record is from RNAcentral. Lineage: Eukaryota; Metazoa; Chordata; Mammalia; Rodentia; Muridae.
GUGUUGUAUGAAAGGAGAGAAGGUUAGCACUCCCCUUGAAAAAGAUGGAAGAGGCCCUUGGGCCUAACAACAUGCAUAAGGUUAAGGCAUUGCCACCUACUUUGUGGCAUCUAACCACUGCUUUUG